UCGGCGCGAUUCGCCUUACGGCUCAGUAACACGUGGACAACCUAACCUAUGGAGGGGGAUAACCCCGGGAAACUGGGGAUAAUACCCCAUAGACUAUGAAUGCUGGAAUGCUUUGUAGUUGAAAGGUCCGCCGCCAUAGGAUGGGUCUGCGGCCGAUUAGGUUGUUGUUGGGGUAACGGCCCAACAAGCCUGUAAUCGGUACGGGUUGUGGGAGCAAGAGCCCGGAGAUGGAUUCUGAGACACGAAUCCAGGCCCUACGGGGCGCAGCAGGCGCGAAAACUUUACAAUGCGGGAAACCGUGAUAAGGGAACUCCGAGUGCCCGUAAAAUCGGGCUGUCCAUCUGUUUAAAUAACAGGUGAAGAAAGGGCCGGGCAAGACCGGUGCCAGCCGCCGCGGUAAUACCGGCGGCUCGAGUGGUGGCCACUAUUACUGGGCUUAAAGCGUUCGUAGCUGGUCUGUUAAGUCUCUGGGGAAAUCUACUGGCUUAACCAAUAGGCGUUUCAGGGAUACUGGCAGACUAGGGACCGGGAGAGGUGAGAGGUACUCCAGGGGUAGGAGUGAAAUCCUGUAAUCCUUGGGGGACCACCUGUGGCGAAGGCGUCUCACCAGAACGGCUCCGACAGUGAGGGACGAAAGCUGGGGGAGCAAACCGGAUUAGAUACCCGGGUAGUCCCAGCCGUAAACGAUGCGCGUUAGGUGUAUCGGUGACCACGAGUCACCGAGUGCCGAAGAGAAAUCGUGAAACGUGCCGCCUGGAAGUACGGUCGCAAGCUGAAACUUAAAGGAAUUGCGGGGAGCACAGGCGAAUUCGUUAAACUGCAUGACUAGUCCCUUAGUGAGGGUAUUCUG
RNAcentral lists this ribosomal RNA (850 nucleotides) under uncultured archaeon. RNAcentral describes it as "bacterial SSU rRNA". It matches the Rfam family "Archaeal small subunit ribosomal RNA", at positions 68 to 1379 of the family's 1478-position model. The record is from RNAcentral.